GACGAACGCUGGCGGCGUGCUUAACACAUGCAAGUCGAACGGAAAGGCCCUUCGGGGUACUCGAGUGGCGAACGGGUGAGUAACACGUGGUGAUCUGCCCUGCACUCUGGGAUAAGCCUGGGAAACUGGGUCUAAUACCGGAUAUGAUCAUGCGCCUCAUGGUGUGUGGUGGAAAGCUUUUGCGGUGUGGGAUGGGCCCGCGGCCUAUCAGCUUGUUGGUGGGGUAAUGGCCUACCAAGGCGACGACGGGUAGCGGCCUGAGAGGGUGACCGGCCACACUGGGACUGAGAUACGGCCCAGACUCCUACGGGAGGCAGCAGUGGGGAAUAUUGCACAAUGGGCGCAAGCCUGAUGCAGCGACGCCGGCGUGGGGGGAUGACGGCC
Molecule: ribosomal RNA, 384 nt
Filed under: uncultured bacterium
Lineage: Bacteria
Description: bacterial SSU rRNA
Rfam family: Bacterial small subunit ribosomal RNA
Source: RNAcentral